CAAUAGCGUAUAUUAAAGUUGUUGCAGUUAAAAAGCUCGUAGUUGAACUUCUGGCUUCAAUUUCAGCUGGCUUCGGUCGCUGAAAGUGGGGUCAUCCGCUUGGGAACUACGUUCGAACUUCAUUGUUCGGCGUAAGGAACAGGCAUUUUACUUAGAAAAAUUAGAGUGUUCAAGGCAGGCUAUCGCCCUGAAUACACAAGCUUAGAAUAAUGAAAUAGGACUAAAUUCAUUUUAUUGGUUAUUGGAUUUAGUAAUGAUUAAUAGGGACAGUUGGGGGCAUUAGUAUUUAAUAGUCAGAGGUGAAAUUCUUGGAUUUAUUAAAGACUAACUUAUGCGAAAGCAUUUGCCAAGGAUGUUUUCAUUAAUCAAGAACGAAAGUUAGGGGAUCAAAGACGAUUAGAUACCAU
This 407-nucleotide ribosomal RNA is filed under the name uncultured eukaryote. RNAcentral describes it as "bacterial SSU rRNA". It matches the Rfam family "Eukaryotic small subunit ribosomal RNA", at positions 592 to 1018 of the family's 1831-position model. The record is from RNAcentral.